Molecule: long non-coding RNA, 859 nt
Organism: Equus asinus (donkey)
Lineage: Eukaryota; Metazoa; Chordata; Mammalia; Perissodactyla; Equidae
Source: Ensembl
CUGGACCCUUUGCAUUUGUUGGCCAAACCAUCCUUGCUCCCUUUUGUAUGUUUACUUUUUCUCACGCCAACCUUUUAAUUCUGGCGGGACUUCUAAUCAGAGUACCGGCGGCCCCUGGCCAAUUAUCUUACUCCAUCCUCUUGGCCACUGUGAUGGAUCCCAGGGCGAGCACAGGCACAAAAACAACUGGAGCCCUUCUGUGGCGAAACCAGAAGAGAGACUCUCUCUUUCUUCCGGGGUUACUGAGCUAGGAUAACGUGAGCCCUGAGCUGCCUGUGCUGCGUCUGGAGGAAGCCGGUCUGCUACCACGGGGAAUGAAAGAGCUGAGGCAGCUGGAGAGCAAAGGCAUCCCGACAGAAUCGCUUGAGUUCCCGAAUCCGGUCAACGGAAAGGCCAGCACCCCCACUUGAUUGGAAUGCCGUGAGGUCUAAAGGAGAGAAUUCACGUCAAACACCAAGUAGCGUGCCGAACACCAGCAUGACGUGCCAAGCGGUACCAUGUCCACACCUGGGAUCCGAACCGGCAUACCCUGGGCCACCGAGAAGCGGAACGUGUGCACUUAACCGCUGCGCCACCAGUUUGGUCCAGUUGGGAAGAUAAAGAAAACAAGAUGUGCAAGGCAAUUCCUCUGAAAUGGCUGCUCCAGCUCUAUUUUACUAUGGCUCCGCUCAAGUCAUCUUUCACAGGAGCAUUGUCUGAAGGAACGCCGGAAGGUGAGAGGAUGGUGCAGAAAGACCAGGCAGGGUUCACUCUGCUACACAGGGUGGCUAGGAGUCCAAAUUGACAGCACUAAGAACGACAACAUAUGGGGCCGGCCCGGCAGCGCAGUGGUUAAGUUCUCACGUUCCACUUCGGCGGC